CCUAGUGGUGAUAGCGGAGAGGAAACACCCGUUCCCAUCCCGAACACGGAAGUUAAGCUCUCCAGCGCCGAUGGUAGUUGGGGCCAGCGCCCCUGCAAGAGUAGGUCGCUGCUAGGC
This is a non-coding RNA of Geobacillus thermodenitrificans NG80-2, 117 nucleotides long. The record is from Rfam. Lineage: Bacteria; Bacillati; Bacillota; Bacilli; Caryophanales; Anoxybacillaceae.